CCUAGGCUACAGAUGGAGGACUGGGUUCCCUAUCUGCGCCCAGGGGAAAGUCCUGGACCGGGACAGAGAGUGCCACGUGCGCGAGCACGCAGACCUCCCCUGCUUCUCACUGUCAACCCGCCAAGAAGUGAGUGAGAUUACAGAAGCCAGGGGCAUGGUUAUGGUGGUGUAGACAAAGGGGUGGGGGGGGGGUGAUCUGCUCUCAAUUUACCUU
Molecule: small RNA, 214 nt
Filed under: Myotis lucifugus (little brown bat)
Lineage: Eukaryota; Metazoa; Chordata; Mammalia; Chiroptera; Vespertilionidae
Description: RNase MRP (ENSMLUG00000022196.1)
Rfam family: RNase MRP
About the family: RNase MRP is an enzymatically active ribonucleoprotein with two distinct roles in eukaryotes. In mitochondria it plays a direct role in the initiation of mitochondrial DNA replication.
Source: RNAcentral